UGGGAUGUAGCUCAGUGGUAGAGCUCUUGCAUAGCACUCAAGGCCCUGGAUUCGAUUUCCAGCACCACAA
This 70-nucleotide transfer RNA is filed under the name Marmota monax (woodchuck). It matches the Rfam family "tRNA". From Rfam's summary of the family: Transfer RNA (tRNA) molecules are approximately 80 nucleotides in length. The record is from Rfam by way of RNAcentral. Lineage: Eukaryota; Metazoa; Chordata; Mammalia; Rodentia; Sciuridae.